UAAAUUCACCAAAACAUCCCCGGUGUUUUGUUUAGCUGACUGGAGAGCUGGCCUCGGCAGCUAGUGGGUCCAUGACGAUGACUUCUGCUUUGUUCGAUCCGCCGUUUUACUGCCGUGCAACAGGCAGAGUUUGGAAACAGUUAAGCUGGUCCAGACGGACAAUCGCCCAGCAGAAUUUCCGGCGAGUCCCACCAGGGCCGAUGGCGGGCUUUUUGGUGCCAGGACAAGCUGUGCGUCCCCAUCUCUGAACAUCCUCCCCCAACUAUGAAGCGCUAGGUGUUCAAACUCAGGACCCGGGAUGGACCACUCAUCUGUGCAUCAGUUGGGGACGUCUCUGCACUGCUGACUUGUCUCCACCCAAGACGAUCUCCGGCUGGACCCACUAUGGACUGGACUCUCACACUUUGUUCUAGAUCAGUGGUUCUCAACCUUUUUUCAGUGAUGUACUCCCUGUGGACAUUUUUUUUUAUUUAAAUACCCCCUAAUCACAGCAAAGCAUUUUUGGUUGAAAAAAAGAGAUAAAGAAGUAAAAUA
Molecule: long non-coding RNA, 534 nt
Organism: Nerophis ophidion (straightnose pipefish)
Lineage: Eukaryota; Metazoa; Chordata; Actinopteri; Syngnathiformes; Syngnathidae
Exons: 3
Source: RefSeq, a predicted model, not a curated record